UUCGCAAUGCCCGAAAGGGUGACGAAGCGACGCCGCGUGUGGGAAGAAGGCCUUCGGGUUGUAAACCACUGUCGGGAGUUAAGAAAUGCAAGGAUAUGAAUAGUGUCUUUGCUUGACUAAGGCUCCGGAGGAAGCCACGGCUAACUCUGUGCCAGCAGCCGCGGUAAUACAGAGGCGGCAAGCGUUGUUCGGAAUUAUUGGGCGUAAAGAGCACGUAGGCGGCUAUGUAAGUCGGUUGUGAAAGCCUUCCGCUCAACGGAAGAACAGCAUCCGAUACUACAUGGCUUGAGUGCGGGAGGGGAGAGUGGAAUUCCUGGUGGAGCGGUGAAAUGCGUAGAUAUCAGGAGGAACGCCGGCGGCGAAAGCGGCUCUCUGGCCCAUAACUGACGCUGAGUGUGCGAAAGCUAGGGGAGCAAACGGGAUUAGAUACCCCGGUAGUCCUAGCCGUAAACGAUGGGCACUAAGUAGAGGGGUUUU
RNAcentral lists this ribosomal RNA (477 nucleotides) under uncultured bacterium. Its description in RNAcentral is "bacterial SSU rRNA". It matches the Rfam family "Bacterial small subunit ribosomal RNA", at positions 365 to 832 of the family's 1533-position model. The record is from RNAcentral.